CAGUGCUAUAGCUCUUUUAGAAUUUGUCCAGCAGGCUUUCCAUUUUCCCCA
Callithrix jacchus (white-tufted-ear marmoset) is the source of this 51-nucleotide small nuclear RNA. Its record names the gene U7. It matches the Rfam family "U7 small nuclear RNA". From Rfam's summary of the family: Animal histone pre-mRNAs are spliced by a different mechanism than nuclear pre-mRNAs and self-splicing introns. This processing involves the U7 snRNP, which contains only one RNA species: U7. The 5' end of U7 RNA is thought to base-pair to a conserved spacer element downstream of the cleavage site in histone pre-mRNA. NCBI's taxonomy places the organism in Eukaryota, Metazoa, Chordata, Mammalia, Primates, Cebidae. The record is from Ensembl.